GAUACAUCUCCAUCGUAUCUACUUUUCCAAACUCUUUUGCCCUUGUUUUGGACUCUAAUUUGCAUGAUUUGAAUGGAACUAACCCGGACUAAAGUUGUUUUCACCAGAAUUGCCAUGGUGUUGUUUUUGCGCAGAAAUAAAAGUUCUCGGAAUGACCUGGAAAUUUAUGAGAAUUUUUUGUGGAAUAUAUAAAAAAAUACUGGCCCAAGAAUCAACCGGAGACGUGGAGCGAGGAGCCCACAAGCCCAGGAGGCACGGGCCCCCCUGGCCGCGUCUUGCACGCUUGUGGGGCCCUCGGGGCUCCGCCGCCUCCAACUCCAGCUCUAUUUAGUCCCCUUCGCCCGGAAAAAAAUCAGGGAGAAGAGUUCAUCGCGUUUUACGAUACGGAGGCACCGCCACCACCUGUUCUUCCUCUAGAGGGCAGAUCUGGAGUCCGUUCUGGGCUCUGGAGAGGGGAGAUCGUCACCGUCGUCAUCACCAACCUUCCUUCAUCGCCAAUUCCAUGAUGCUUUUCACCGUUCGUGAGUAAUCUCAUCGUAGGCUUGUUGGACGGUGAUGGGUUGGAUGAGAUCUAUUAUGUAAUCGAGUUGGUUUUGAUGAGGAUUGAUCCCUAGUAUCCACUAUGUUCUGGGAUUGAUGUUGCUACUACUUUGCCAUGCUUAAUGCUUAUCACUAGGGCACGAGUGCCAUGAUUUCAGAUCUGAACCUAUUAUGUUUUCAUCAAUAUAUGUGCGUUCUUGAUCCUAUCUUUCAAGUUGUAGUCACCUACUAUGUGUUAUGACCCGGCAACCCCGGAGUGACAAUAGCCGGAACCACUCUCGGAGAUGACCAUAGUAUGAGGAGUUCAUGUAUUCACUGUGUGCUAAUGCUUUGUUUCGGUUCUCUAUUAAAAGGAGAACCUUAAUAUCCCGUAGUUUCCAUUAGGACCCCGCUGCCACGAGAGGGAUGGACAAUAGAUGUCAUGCGAGUUCUUUUCACGUAUGACUAUAUACGGAAUGCAUGCCUACAUUACUUUGACGAACUGGAGCUAGUUACAUAUCUCCCCAUGUUAUAACUGUUACAUGAUGAAUGUCAUCCGGCAUAAUUAUCCAUCACCGAUCCAAUGCCUACGAGUUUUUCCUACUGGUCCUUGAUACGUUACUUUGCCGCUACUACUGUCACUCAUGCUACUGUUACCGGUACUGCUAUCACUGUUGCUAUUGUUGCUAUCACACUACUUUGCUACUGAAACUUUGCUGCAGAUACUAAGUCUUUCAGGUGUGGUUGAAUUGAUAACUCAACUGCUAAUACUCGAGAAUAAUCUUUUGCUUCCCCUUGUGUCGAAUCAACAAAUUUGGGUUGAAUACUCUACCCUCGAAAAUUGUUGCGAUCCCCUAUACUUGUGGGUUAUCAAGACUAUUUUUUGGCGCCAUUGCCGGGGAGGCCUAGCACUAUUCUCUGAGUCACUUGGGAUUUAUGUCUGUUGAUCACUAUGAGGAAUCUAAGAGAUCCAAAAACUAAAGUCUUGCCCUCAACUACGAGGACAUGUAAGGAAUUAUCAUAUAGCUUUGCACUUGAUUCACCUUCAGUUAUGAGUAAGUUUGCGACACUACCACCUGCUAGAAAUUCUGAUAUGUCGCAUGUGCUUGAUGAUGCUACUUCUGCUAUCCAUGAUGCUUGUGAUGAUGCUUUGCUUGAUACUGCUUUGCCACUAGGUGCAUUCCUAGAUGCACAAAUUGCUAGAGUUGCUGCUGAAUGUGAUGAUACUUCUGAAACUAGUGAGAUUAUUGAAGUAGAACCUGCUAUUUCACCUGUUAGAACUAGCUCUCCUAGAUAUGAAUUGCCUGAUAUACCUGAGGGUUAUGUUAUGGAGGGAGAGGUAGCUGAGGACUUUCUUGCUUGUAAGGAUAGCUAUGAUCUUGAGAAAUUACUGCGCAAGUGGAAAGAAAAAUCUCUGAACGCUAGGAUAAAAUACGACCCUAAGUUUGCUACUUCGCCUAUCUUUGUGACCGAUAAGGAUUAUGAAUUCUCUGUCGAUCCUGAGUUAAUCACUUUGGUCGAAUCUGAUCCUUUUCAUGGUUAUGAGUCUGGAACGGUUGUAGCACAUCUUACUAAGCUGCACCAUAUAGCCACCCUAUUCAUGAGUGAGGAAAAGAUCCACCACUACUAUAUCCUUAAGUUGUUUCAUUUCUCGCUAAAGGGUGAUGCUAAGACUUGGUUCACUUCUCUUGCUCCUCGUUGUGUGCGUAGUCCCCAGUAUAUGAUCUACUACUUCUCUGAGAAAUAUUUCUUGUCCAUAAGAAACAAGUUGCCUUGCACGAAAUAUAUAACUUUGUGCAAGUUGAAGAAGAGAGUCUCUCACAAGCUUGGGGGAGGCUUGUCCAGCUGUUGAAUGCUUUGCCUGAUCACCCUCUUGAGAAGAAUGAAAUAAUUGAUAUCUUCUAUAAUAGACUAACCGAUGCUUCUAGGGACCACCUAGAUAGUUGUGCUGGUUGUGUUUUUAGGGAACGAACCGUGGAACAAGCUGAGAUUCUAUUGAAUAAUAUCUUGUGGAGUGAGAAUGCUUGGACUAUUCCCGAACCACCUCCGAAGCCAACUCCGAAGAAAAGAGGUAUUCUAUUCCUCAGUCCUCAAGAUAUGCAAGAAGCUAAGAAAUCUAUGCAAGAGAAAGGCAUUAAAUCUGAUGAUGUUAAGAAUCUACCACCUAUCGAAGAGAUCCAUGGUCUUGAUAACCGGACACAGGUAGUAGAGGUAAAUUCUCUUCGUAGAUUCAAUGAGAGUGAUAUUCCUUUUGAUAAACCUACUAGAUUAUGCUUAGAUGAGUUUGAUAACUUUGUUGCCAAACAACAAAGUUUCAAUGAUUAUGUUAGCAGACAAUUGGAACAGAAUGCUCGUAUGCUUAGUCAUUUAAGUGCUUGUGUGGAUAGAAAUGUAAAUGAUCUUAAGCUUUUGAGUAAACAUGCAUCUAUGGUCACUACUCAAGUAGAACAAGUACUUAGGGCUCAAAAUGACUUGCUCAAUGAGUUGAAUGAAAAUUCUGUUAGAGUCGUCACUAGAGGCGGUAGAAUGACCCAAGAACCUUUGUAUCCUGAGGGUCAUCCUAANCACAUCCAUACUGUUUGAUCUGUAUGACAAAUCGUAUACCAUGGAUUUAGAGGAUUUCAAUAGAAUUUGCAAGAUACCUGAUUGGGGUAGUCUAAAUGAUCCUCCCAAGUCUUCGAUUAGAGAUUUUAUCUCUAGUAUAACUGUCGGAGAAACUAGAGAUAUUACGCAGGCUACCAUGGGGAGCAUUCAUUUUCCUGCCUUGCAUUACUUUGCCCUCUUCAUAGGUAGAUGCAUUAAUGGCAAGAUUGACCAUUUUCACCUCUACGCACCUGACCUUAGUAUUCUUAAGAGCGUAGUAAUGGGUGAUAGAAGUUUCCACAUGGAGCUAUAAUCGCGAGGAGGCUAAAUAAUAAUGCUAAUGAAGGGGAUUUCUUUGGUGGGCUCUAUGCCACUCGCAUAGCAAAUUUUCUUGGAGUACCUAUCCGCGAAGGAGAUCCCCCGCUCCAUAAAGCUUUCCUUGAUCGCGCCGCUAUGACACGUUAUCAGUUCCUUGAGAGGGAUAAUGAAUCCCUCCUAUACCGGUUAAUAUUUAAUCAACAGCGUGUUUUCCAUAUUACCCUUCCUGCUCCUGCCUUCUUUGAAUUUCAGGUAAAACGGAGAUACUACAUAACCAGAGGAGAGGCAGAGGAGUAUGAGAGGGAGGCAAAGGCUGCUCGCCUCCGUGAGGCUGCUAUUCAGGCGGUAGCUGCCGCGUUCCCGUACAACCCCCCAUUAUGAUUUUGGAUAUCGCCCGGACCAGCCAUGGGAGUAGACCAACUUAGGCCAAAAGCCUAAGCUUGGGGGAGUACGUGUUUCUCACCGACUUUACAUUCAUGCUCACACUUUCACUUUGAUAGUUGGUGUUCACACCUUGCCACUGUAUCAUCCAUGCUAGUUUAUUUCUUUUUCUUGCUUUCUUCUCGUGCGUUUGUUUAGAUUGAGAAAACCCAAAAAGAUUUCUCGUUCUUCUUUUGCUUGUUGGGAGCUUUCCCGUGUAAAUAGUUUUCUUUUUCUUUGGGUCUAGGUAGAAGACCAUGGUUACAAUGUUUAGUGGCUCUCGCAUGCAUAUCUGUUUAUCUGUCAAAGAGCCAUAUUAUUUUGUCUUCUCCUUUGUGUUUGCUUGUAGAUUCCAGUGUAGUCCAAUGCACGAACACUCUUAUUAUUGUUCACAUCUUCGGUCGUGCAAGUGAAAGGCAAUAAUGACAAUAUAUGAUGAAGUGACUGAGCCUGGAAAAGCUGGUAUGAACUCGAUCUAUUUUGUUUUUGUAAAUAUGACUAGCUCAUCGUUCCUAAUUCAGCUUUGUUAUGAGAGAAACAUGUUUGCAAUGACAACUUAGAGAUCAUAGUUUUUGAUGUCAUGCUUAAUUAGCUUGGAGCUUAUAAUGGUUUGUCUUGGAUGCCAACAUGAAUUUCAAGAUGAUUAUGAUGUAGUAUGAUAGGAUGGUAUCCUCCUUUGAAUAAUUCAAGUGGCUUGACUUAGCACAUGUUCACGCAUGUAGUUGAAACAAAAUCAACAUAGCCUCUAUGAUAUUCAUGUUUAUGGUGAUUUAUGUCCUACUCAUGCUUGCACUCAAUGUUGGUUAAUUUCAAUGCUUAUUGAUGACUGUUGUCGCUCUCUAGUUGGUUGCUUCCGAGUCUUUUGCUAGAAUUCACUUGUACUAAGCGGGAAUACUGCUUGUGCAUCCACUUCCAUAAACCUAAAGUUGUUCCAUAUGAGUCCACCAUACCUACCUAUAUGCGGUAUCUACGUGACGUUCCAAGUAAAUUUGCAUGUGCCACACUCUAAACCUUCAAGUAAUAAUCUGUUUUGCAUGCCCGAACCGCUCAUGUGGUGACAAGGGGCGGUCAGUAUCUUCCAUGCUAGGCGUGUUAUCCUCGAUAUGUGUUUAUUCACUAUCACUCACGAGAAAGGGGCCGGUAAUUGGAAUGCCCAGUUCUAUGCUCAAAUCGAAAAGAUAAUUGCAAACAAAACUCCCCCUAGAUUGUUGUUGGUAUGGACGGCACCCGAGUAUUCGGCUAGUCGUGGAGUGUGAUUGAUCGGUGGUGGGGGAGUCAAAACUUUACUUUUCUGUUUGGGAACCGCCUAUAGUAUGUGUAGCAUGGAAGAUGGUGAAAACUCUUGGUCAUUGCGUUGACAAUGAAAGCAUGCACCCAAAACUAUUUAUCUCUGUCUUCAAAGCUUGAGCUCUAGCACCUCUGCAAAUCAAUGCUUCCCUCUGCGAAGGGCCUAUCUAUUUAUGUUUCUGUUGAGUCAUUAUCUUCUUUCAAAAGCACCAAUUAGAGAGCACCUCCAUCAUUUUUAUGAUUUGCUAUUAAUUGAUAUUGAGUACGACUGUGACUGGAUCUUCUUUGCCAUGAAUUACAAUGUUCAGUCAGCCCUUGGUCUUUGAAGGUGCUCUGCAUUUAUGUUUUGCGGUCUCAGAAAGAGCUAGCGAUAUACCAUAUGUUCAUAUUGCUUCAUGAUUGUUUUGAUUGAGGUAUUGAUGUUUGAAACUUAUUAUUAUUGCACGCUAGUUGAUUAUGCCAUUGAUAUGAGUACAUUUUGAGACCUAAAUGUCAUUGCUUAUGUGGUUAGCUUAUGAUCUUGCUGAAAAUCUGAAUAUGAGUUAGACAUAAUUACAGCAGCAAGAUCAAACAAAGUUCGUAAAAGUUUUUCUUUUGUCUCUUUCAGUUUGUCAACUGAAUUCUUGAGGAGAAGCAAGGCUUUAAGCUUGGGGGAGUUGAUACGUCUCCAUCGUAUCUACUGUUCCAAACUCUUUUGCCCCUGUUUUGGACUCUAAUUUGUAUGAUUUGAAUGGAACUAACCCGGACUAUCGCUAUUUUCAACAGAAUUGCCAUGGUGUUGUUUUUGCGCAGAAAUAAAAGUUCUCGGAAUGACCUGGAAAUUUACGAGGAUUUUUUGUGGAAUAUAGAAAAAAUACUGGCGCAAGAAU
RNAcentral lists this long non-coding RNA (5996 nucleotides) under Hordeum vulgare. RNAcentral's name for it is "long non-coding RNA (HVUL_LNC001036)". Lineage: Eukaryota; Viridiplantae; Streptophyta; Magnoliopsida; Poales; Poaceae. The record is from RNAcentral.